This 518-nucleotide ribosomal RNA is filed under the name Diaporthales sp. RNAcentral's name for it is "partial large subunit ribosomal RNA". It matches the Rfam family "Eukaryotic large subunit ribosomal RNA", at positions 69 to 605 of the family's 3401-position model. Lineage: Eukaryota; Fungi; Ascomycota; Sordariomycetes; Diaporthales. The record is from RNAcentral.
CAGGGAUUGCCUUAGUAACGGCGAGUGAAGCGGCAACAGCUCAAAUUUGAAAUCUGGCCCUUAGGGUCCGAGUUGUAAUUUGUAGAGGAUGUUUUUGGCACGGUGCCUUCCGAGUUCCCUGGAACGGGACGCCACAGAGGGUGAGAGCCCCGUAUGGUUGGACACUAAGCCUCUGUAAAGCUCCUUCAACGAGUCGAGUAGUUUGGGAAUGCUGCUCUAAAUGGGAGGUAAAUCUCUUCUAAAGCUAAAUACUGGCCAGAGACCGAUAGCGCACAAGUAGAGUGAUCGAAAGAUGAAAAGCACCUUGAAAAGGGGGUUAAACAGUACGUGAAAUUGUUGAAAGGGAAGCACUUGUCACCAGACGUGCGCCGGGCGGUUCAUCAGAGGCUUUGCCCCUGUGUAUGCCGUCCGGUUCAGGCUAGCAUCGGUUUUCGCUGGGGGAGAAGAACAGUUGGAACGUGGCUCGCCUUCGGGGGAGUGUUAUAGCCUUCUGUACGAUGCCCUGGCGGGGACUGAGG